AUUGAACGCUGGCGGCAGGCCUAACACAUGCAAGUCGAACGGUAACAGGAAGCAGCUUGCUGCUUCGCUGACGAGUGGCGGACGGGUGAGUAAUGUCUGGGAAACUGCCUGAUGGAGGGGGAUAACUACUGGAAACGGUGGCUAAUACCGCAUAACGUCGCAAGACCAAAGAGGGGGACCUUCGGGCCUCUUGCCAUCAGAUGUGCCCAGAUGGGAUUAGCUUGUUGGUGAGGUAACGGCUCACCAAGGCGACGAUCCCUAGCUGGUCUGAGAGGAUGACCAGCCACACUGGAACUGAGACACGGUCCAGACUCCUACGGGAGGCAGCAGUGGGGAAUAUUGCACAAUGGGCGCAAGCCUGAUGCAGCCAUGCCGCGUGUAUGAAGAAGGCCUUCGGGUUGUAAAGUACUUUCAGCGGGGAGGAAGGUGUUGUGGUUAAUAACCGCAGCAAUUGACGUUACCCGCAGAAGAAGCACCGGCUAACUCCGUGCCAGCAGCCGCGGUAAUACGGAGGGUGCAAGCGUUAAUCGGAAUUACUGGGCGUAAAGCGCACGCAGGCGGUCUGUCAAGUCGGAUGUGAAAUCCCCGGGCUCAACCUGGGAACUGCAUUCGAAACUGGCAGGCUUGAGUCUUGUAGAGGGGGUAGAAUUCCAGGUGUAGCGGUGAAAUGCGUAGAGAUCUGGAGGAAUACCGGUGGCGAAGGCGGCCCCCUGGACAAAGACUGACGCUCAGGUGCGAAAGCGUGGGGAGCAAACAGGAUUAGAUACCCUGGUAGUCCACGCCGUAAACGAUGUCUACUUGGAGGUUGUGCCCUUGAGGCGUGGCUUCCGGAGCUAACGCGUUAAGUAGACCGCCUGGGGAGUACGGCCGCAAGGUUAAAACUCAAAUGAAUUGACGGGGGCCCGCACAAGCGGUGGAGCAUGUGGUUUAAUUCGAUGCAACGCGAAGAACCUUACCUGGUCUUGACAUCCACAGAACUUUCCAGAGAUGGAUUGGUGCCUUCGGGAACUGUGAGACAGGUGCUGCAUGGCUGUCGUCAGCUCGUGUUGUGAAAUGUUGGGUUAAGUCCCGCAACGGGCGCAACCCUUAUCCUUUGUUGCCAGCGGUCCGGCCGGGAACUCAAAGGAGACUGCCAGUGAUAAACUGGAGGAAGGUGGGGAUGACGUCAAGUCAUCAUGGCCCUUACGACCAGGGCUACACACGUGCUACAAUGGCGCAUACAAAGAGAAGCGACCUCGCGAGAGCAAGCGGACCUCAUAAAGUGCGUCGUAGUCCGGAUUGGAGUCUGCAACUCGACUCCAUGAAGUCGGAAUCGCUAGUAAUCGUGGAUCAGAAUGCCACGGUGAAUACGUUCCCGGGCCUUGUACACACCGCCCGUCACACCAUGGGAGUGGGUUGCAAAAGAAGUAGGUAGCUUAACCUUCGGGAGGGCGCUUACCACUUUGUGAUUCAUGACUGGGGUGAAGUCGUAACAAGGUAACCC
RNAcentral lists this ribosomal RNA (1483 nucleotides) under Salmonella sp. RNAcentral's name for it is "bacterial SSU rRNA". It matches the Rfam family "Bacterial small subunit ribosomal RNA". The record is from RNAcentral. Lineage: Bacteria; Pseudomonadati; Pseudomonadota; Gammaproteobacteria; Enterobacterales; Enterobacteriaceae.